Physeter macrocephalus (sperm whale) is the source of this 2542-nucleotide long non-coding RNA. RefSeq lists it as uncharacterized. The transcript has 6 exons. The record is from RefSeq and is a predicted model, not a curated record. NCBI's taxonomy places the organism in Eukaryota, Metazoa, Chordata, Mammalia, Artiodactyla, Physeteridae.
GCGAGGAGGGGCGAGGUGCGGCGGAGGCCGGGUCGGGGAAGGAGGCCCGGGAACGGGACCUGGAGCGGGGCUGGGACUGGGGUCCAGAUUCGAGGGGGAAGGCGUGGAAGAGAGAGGUGAGGAAGAGCAGGGGCUGUGGUGGUAGGGGUCUGGCAGAAUGGGGGCGUGGAGGAGGGAGACCCGGGAGGAAGGGAGGGAAGGAGGCAGAGACUGGGAGCCCCGCAGACCCUCAGGAAUAGGGCCUAGAAAGGGCAGUGACCCUGGGGCCGGUCACGGGCCAGGCCGGACUAGUGGGCCUGGGGUAUGAGGUGGGUGUGACGGGGAGGCCUGCCUGAGCUUGCCCUGCCAUCUCAGGUGUCUGGGAGAUCCCUCUGGGGCUGGCUUGGCCUGUGCCCCUUAGCAGGCCCCCUCUGCCCCAGGCAGCCUUCGCCCCACCCAGUUCGAGGUGGGUGGAGACUCAUCCCCCUCAGGCAGGCUCAGCACCUGCCCAGGGCUCCAUCAAUGUCUGUUCAGGCGAGUUGGAUUGAGCCGGGCAAGGACUGCCAGCUCAGAUGUCAGCUCCCUUGCCCUCUGAGGAGGAUGCAGAGUCCGCAGUGGGGUUUCCUUUUCUUGGCCUUGCAGACAGAGCUGAGGGCAGGUGUCCAAACUGUGCCUUCUUUCACUUAUCCGAUAACUAUGUAGUCAUCACCUACUAUGGCCAGGCCCUGUUGCAGGUGCUGGGGAUACAGCAGGAAACUAACAAAAUACCUGCCUUGGUUACAUUCCAGGCAGGGGAAUAAAUAAGCAAAAUAAAGUAGUAAAUUAGAAGGUAAAAAUGGUUAGUUGAAGAAACGGAACAGGGUCCAAUGAGGAGAAUAAAGAAUUGACAGGGUGGUAAGAGAUGGCCUCAUUGAAGUGACAUUGGACAAGACUUGAAGAAGGUCCGUCUCUCACCCCCUCAGCAGCCCUGGGGCUGUUCUUGGGAAGAAAAGACAUGGACCCCAGUCAACCAAGGGUGAAGAUGAAACUCAGAUAUUCAGAGAUGGGAGGAAGGAAGAUCAGGAGAUGCCUUCUGAUGUGACCAGCAUAACCUCAGGCACCUGCAAGGACCUAUGAGGAUUUAACACAGCAAUAAUAAGUGACUACAUUUGAGGCUUCCACCUUCACAGCAGGCCGUCCUGGAAGUGACUGACACCCACCAGCGUACCCUUCUGACCAUCUGCCUGAGCGCUGAGCUUGCUGGGAUAUGGGGGUUGGGAGCAGAAGCUGAUAAACACUGUCAUCCUGACAGUUGGGCUCCUUGGUCUCUGGGCUCAUUCCCACAUCUGCGAUGUUUUUUGAUCCUCACCCGUUGCCUGGGCUGCUCUGGCAGCUGCCACAGCAACCCUGGAGAUAUACAGGUGAUCACAGGGGGAGAACAUCCCCAAAUGGUUUUCCAGGCAUUGCUGUUACAGGUUUGACAAGGAUGUGAAAAAUCACAGCCUGUAGGCCGAAUCCAGCCUUGAGGCCUGGCAAUCGCUGGCAGAAAAGGAGCUAAGUGGAAGAUGGCUCAGGAAGUCUGACUCCAGGAUAAUUCCUGCAGGAGAGCUGGCUUGCCGGGAGCCAUGGAGACGGGCUAAAUGUUCAGAGCAAAGGUCGAUGCAAAUGGGGAUGCCUCGGUGGUCUGGAAACGUCCCAGUCCUCUUCCCCCAAAAGCCUGGGCCCCCUGGACAACUAGAAUAAGAAAGGCAAAGAGUGGGCUUAUAUGUCUAAAUGAACAGCAAAGUAAAGAUCAGAAACUACACAGAUAUAGGGGAGAACAUUAUACCUUCACCAGGGAGGAGACUGUUCCUGAGAGUGUGAAAAGGAUGAUUUUUGAGCUUCCUAGCAGACCAGACACAGAAGAAAACACAUGGAGGGUUCUGAUUUGAAUAAUGCAACUGAUUCACACUUCUGGAGUUUUAAAGGGCAAUCAGGAAUUAGGCGAUGAAAAGUGGAUACUCUACAAUAAUGUGGAAUGGAAGAGAUUGUGGGGCAAGCGAAAUGAACCACCACCAACCACACCAAAGGCCGGUCUUCAUCCAAAGAAGGUGAUGUUGUGUAUAUGGUGGGAUUGGAAGGGAGUCCUCUAUUAUGAGCUCCUUCUGGAAAACCGAAUGAUUAAUUCCAACAAGUACUGCUCCCAAUUAGACCAACUGAAAGCUGCACUCGACAAAAAAUGUCCAGAAUUAGUCAACAGAAAACGCAUAAUCUCCCAUCAGGAUAACGCAAGACCGCAUGUUUCUUUGAUGACCAGGCAAAAACUGUCACAGCUUGGCUGGGAAGUUCUGAUUCAUACACAGUAUUCGCCAGACAUUCCAUGUUUGGAUUUCCAUUUAUUUCAGUCUUUACAAAAUUCUCGUAAUGGAAAAAAAUUUCAAUUCCCUGGAAGGCUGUAAAAGGCAUCUGGAACAGUUCUUUGCUCAAAACGAUAAAAAGUUUUGGGAAGAUGGAAUUAUGAAGUUGCCUAGAAAAUGGCAGAACGUAGUGGAACAAAAGGGUGAAUAUGUUGUCCAAUAAAGUUCUUGGUGAAAAUGAAAAAUGU